RNAcentral lists this ribosomal RNA (460 nucleotides) under uncultured bacterium. Its description in RNAcentral is "partial 16S ribosomal RNA". It matches the Rfam family "Bacterial small subunit ribosomal RNA", at positions 338 to 795 of the family's 1533-position model. The record is from RNAcentral.
CCUACGGGAGGCAGCAGUGAGGAAUAUUGGUCAAUGGACGAGAGUCUGAACCAGCCAAGUAGCGUGAAGGAUGACUGCCCUAUGGGUUGUAAACUUCUUUUAUAUGGGAAUAAAAUGUUCCACGUGUGGGAUUUUGUAUGUACCAUAUGAAUAAGGAUCGGCUAACUCCGUGCCAGCAGCCGCGGUAAUACGGAGGAUCCGAGAGUUAUCCGGAUUUAUUGGGUGUAAAGGGAGCGUAGGUGGAUUGUUAAGUCAGUUGUGAAAGUUUGCGGCUCAACCGUAAAAUUGCAGUUGAAACUGGCAGUCUUGAGUACAGUAGAGGUGGGCGGAAUGCGUGGUGUAGCGGUGAAAUGCUUAGAUAUCACGAAGAACUCCGAUUGCGAAGGCAGUUCACUGGACUGCAACUGACACUGAGGCUCGAAAGUGUGGGUAUCAAACAGGAUUAGAUACCCCAGUAGUC